CCUACGGGUGGCUGCAGUGGGGAAUAUUGGACAAUGGGCGCAAGCCUGAUCCAGCAAUGCCGCGUGUGUGAAGAAGGCCUUCGGGUUGUAAAGCACUUUUAUCAGGAGCGCGGUACCGGAGGAAUAAGCACCGGCUAACUCCGUGCCAGCAGCCGCGGUAAUACGGAGGGUGCAAGCGUUAAUCGGAAUUACUGGGCGUAAAGCGUGCGUAGGCGGUUCGUUAAGUCUGUUGUGAAAGCCCCGGGCUCAACCUGGGAAUGGCAUUGGGGACUGGCGAGCUAGAGUGUGGCAGAGGAGGGUGGAAUUCCCGGUGUAGCGGUGAAAUGCGUAGAGAUCGGGAGGAACAUCAGUGGCGAAGGCGGCCAUCUGGGACAAACUGACGCUGAGGCACGAAAGCGUGGGGAGCAAACAGGAUUAGAUACCCUUGUAGUC
Molecule: ribosomal RNA, 432 nt
Filed under: uncultured bacterium
Lineage: Bacteria
Description: partial 16S ribosomal RNA
Rfam family: Bacterial small subunit ribosomal RNA
Source: RNAcentral